GCUAAGUCACGUGGAGAUUUGAGCCGGAUUGCGGGCCACGUUAAAUAUACCGCUAAAGAGGUCGAGGUUUUUACCAA
This 77-nucleotide non-coding RNA is filed under the name Rhodobacteraceae bacterium HTCC2150. RNAcentral describes it as "Alpha-proteobacteria SAM riboswitch aptamer". It matches the Rfam family "Alpha-proteobacteria SAM riboswitch aptamer". From Rfam's summary of the family: This family is a riboswitch found predominantly in alpha-proteobacteria that binds S-adenosyl methionine (SAM). This SAM riboswitch is located upstream of the metA and metC genes in Agrobacterium tumefaciens, and other methionine and SAM biosynthesis genes in other alpha-proteobacteria. Like the other SAM riboswitch, it probably functions to turn off expression of these genes in response to elevated SAM levels. Lineage: Bacteria; Pseudomonadati; Pseudomonadota; Alphaproteobacteria; Rhodobacterales; Paracoccaceae. The record is from Rfam by way of RNAcentral. RNAcentral also lists the same sequence under 1 other name.